GCCAGAGUAGCUUAAUGGUAGAGCAACGGUAUCGUAAACCGUAGGUUGUGAGUUCAAAUCUCUCCUCUGGCUCCA
This 75-nucleotide transfer RNA is filed under the name candidate division WWE3 bacterium CG10_big_fil_rev_8_21_14_0_10_32_10. RNAcentral's name for it is "tRNA-Thr". It matches the Rfam family "tRNA". From Rfam's summary of the family: Transfer RNA (tRNA) molecules are approximately 80 nucleotides in length. The record is from RNAcentral. Lineage: Bacteria; candidate division WWE3.